GAGUUUGAUCCUGGCUCAGGAUGAACGCUGGCGGCGUGCCUAACACAUGCAAGUCGAGCGAUCUUCUUCGGAAGAGAGCGGCGGACGGGUGAGUAACGCGUGGGUAACCUGCCCUGUACACACGGAUAACAUACCGAAAGGUAUGCUAAUACGGGAUAACAUAAGAAAUUCGCAUGUUUUUCUUAUCAAAGCUCCGGCGGUACAGGAUGGACCCGCGUCUGAUUAGCUAGUUGGUGAGGUAACGGCUCACCAAGGCGACGAUCAGUAGCCGACCUGAGAGGGUGAUCGGCCACAUUGGAACUGAGACACGGUCCAAACUCCUACGGGAGGCAGCAGUGGGGAAUAUUGCACAAUGGGCGAAAGCCUGAUGCAGCAACGCCGCGUGAGCGAUGAAGGCCUUCGGGUCGUAAAGCUCUGUCCUCAAGGAAGAUAAUGACGGUACUUGAGGAGGAAGCCCCGGCUAACUACGUGCCAGCCGCCGCGGUAAUAC
Molecule: ribosomal RNA, 490 nt
Filed under: uncultured bacterium
Lineage: Bacteria
Description: bacterial SSU rRNA
Rfam family: Bacterial small subunit ribosomal RNA
Source: RNAcentral